AGUGAACGCUGGCGGUAGGCCUAACACAUGCAAGUCGAACGGCAGCACAGUAAGAGCUUGCUCUUACGGGUGGCGAGUGGCGGACGGGUGAGGAAUACAUCGGAAUCUACUUUUUCGUGGGGGAUAACGUAGGGAAACUUACGCUAAUACAGCAUACGACCUACGGGUGAAAGCAGGGGAUCUUCGGACCUUGCGCGAUUGAAUGAGCCGAUGUCGGAUUAGCUAGUUGGCGGGGUAAAGGCCCACCAAGGCGACGAUCCGUAGCUGGUCUGAGAGGAUGGUCCGCCACACUGGAACUGAGACAAGGCCCCGACUCCUACGGGAGGCAGCAGUGGGGAAUAUUGGACAAGGGGCGGAAGCCUGAUCCAACCCUACCGCGUGGGUGAAGAAGGCCUUCGGGUUGUAAAGCCCUUUUGUUGGGAAAGAAAAGCAGCAGGUUAAUACCCCGCUGUUCUGACGGUACCCAAAGAAUAAGCACCGGCUAACUUCGUG
RNAcentral lists this ribosomal RNA (492 nucleotides) under uncultured bacterium. Its description in RNAcentral is "partial 16S ribosomal RNA". It matches the Rfam family "Bacterial small subunit ribosomal RNA", at positions 29 to 507 of the family's 1533-position model. The record is from RNAcentral.